Molecule: unclassified non-coding RNA, 277 nt
Filed under: uncultured fungus
Lineage: Eukaryota; Fungi
Description: partial contains 5.8S ribosomal RNA, internal transcribed spacer 2, and large subunit ribosomal RNA
Rfam family: 5.8S ribosomal RNA (bases 1-52)
Source: RNAcentral
AACGCACAUUGCGCCCCUUGGUAUUCCGAGGGGCAUGCCUGUUCGAGCGUCAUGACCAAAUCUCGAGCACUUGUGCUUGGUGUUGGGCUUUUCGUCUAAGUUUUUCUCCUGUAAAGAGGGAAAAGUCUGACGUGCCUGAAAAUCAAUGACGGUGUCUCAAUAGACUCAAGCGUAGCAGACUGACUCUCGCUUUGGAAGACUUUUGUGGUGCUGUCAGCUAAAAAAAAAAACAAUGAAUUUGGACCUCGGAUCAGGUAGGAAUACCCGCUGAACUUAA